AUUCUAUGGGGUGAUUCUAUGGGGAGACCCCAUGGGGCGAUGCUAUGGGGCGAUGCUGUGGGGUGACCCUAUGGGGUGCCGCUAUGGGGUGCCGCUAUGGGUCUGGCCCCAUGGGGUGGUGCUAUGGGGGCGAUGCUAUGGGGCUGGCCCCAUGGUGCUGACUCUAUGGGGUGAUGCUAUGGGGUGGCCCCAUGGGGUGCCGCUGUGGGUCUGGCCCCACGGCGUGCCCCCCCCCCCCCCCCCAGUCGGUUUUCCGCAAUUUCGACGUGGACGGGGACGGGCGAAUCUCCCGCGAGGAGUUCGGGAUCCUGCGGGAAAACUUCCCCCACCUGCAGCUGCACCACUUCGGGGAGCUCGACACCGAC
This 365-nucleotide long non-coding RNA is filed under the name Anas platyrhynchos platyrhynchos (common mallard). RNAcentral describes it as "lncRNA (ENSAPLG00000019612.1)". The record is from RNAcentral. Lineage: Eukaryota; Metazoa; Chordata; Aves; Anseriformes; Anatidae.